Molecule: ribosomal RNA, 207 nt
Filed under: uncultured bacterium
Lineage: Bacteria
Description: partial 16S ribosomal RNA
Rfam family: Bacterial small subunit ribosomal RNA
Source: RNAcentral
CGUGCAGGUGGUUCGGAAAGUCGGGUGUGAAAUCCCCGGGCUCAACCCGGGAACUGCAUCCGAAACUCUCGAGCUAGAGUCCCGGAGAGGAAGGCAGAAUUCCCAAUGUAGGGGUGAAAUCCGUAGAUAUUGGGAGGAAUACCAGUUGCGAAGGCGGCCUUCUGGACGGUGACUGACACUCAGACGCGAAAGCGUGGGGAGCAAACA